RNAcentral lists this ribosomal RNA (769 nucleotides) under Escherichia coli. RNAcentral describes it as "partial 23S ribosomal RNA". It matches the Rfam family "Bacterial large subunit ribosomal RNA", at positions 426 to 1194 of the family's 2925-position model. Lineage: Bacteria; Pseudomonadati; Pseudomonadota; Gammaproteobacteria; Enterobacterales; Enterobacteriaceae. The record is from RNAcentral.
GUGGUAUCCUGUCUGAAUAUGGGGGGACCAUCCUCCAAGGCUAAAUACUCCUGACUGACCGAUAGUGAACCAGUACCGUGAGGGAAAGGCGAAAAGAACCCCGGCGAGGGGAGUGAAAAAGAACCUGAAACCGUGUACGUACAAGCAGUGGGAGCACAGAGCAAUCUGUGUGACUGCGUACCUUUUGUAUAAUGGGUCAGCGACUUAUAUUCUGUAGCAAGGUUAACCGAAUAGGGGAGCCGAAGGGAAACCGAGUCUUAACUGGGCGUUAAGUUGCAGGGUAUAGACCCGAAACCCGGUGAUCUAGCCAUGGGCAGGUUGAAGGUUGGGUAACACUAACUGGAGGACCGAACCGACUAAUGUUGAAAAAUUAGCGGAUGACUUGUGGCUGGGGGUGAAAGGCCAAUCAAACCGGGAGAUAGCUGGUUCUCCCCGAAAGCUAUUUAGGUAGCGCCUCGUGAAUUCAUCUCCGGGGGUAGAGCACUGUUUCGGCAAGGGGGUCAUCCCGACUUACCAACCCGAUGCAAACUGCGAAUACCGGAGAAUGUUAUCACGGGAGACACACGGCGGGUGCUAACGUCCGUCGUGAAGAGGGAAACAACCCAGACCGCCAGCUAAGGUCCCAAAGUCAUGGUUAAGUGGGAAACGAUGUGGGAAGGCCCAGACAGCCAGGAUGUUGGCUUAGAAGCAGCCAUCAUUUAAAGAAAGCGUAAUAGCUCACUGGUCGAGUCGGCCUGCGCGGAAGAUGUAACGGGGCUAAACCAUGCAC